Molecule: transfer RNA, 72 nt
Filed under: Camelus bactrianus (Bactrian camel)
Lineage: Eukaryota; Metazoa; Chordata; Mammalia; Artiodactyla; Camelidae
Also listed under: 2 other names
Rfam family: tRNA
About the family: Transfer RNA (tRNA) molecules are approximately 80 nucleotides in length.
Source: Rfam by way of RNAcentral
GUGAGCAUAGCUUAGUGGUAGAGUGCAUGCUUAGCACACAUGAGGUCCUAGGUUCAAUCCCCAGUACCUCCA